UACGUAGGCAGCGAGCGUUGUUCGGAGUUACUGGGCGUAAAGGGUGUGUAGGCGGUUGUUUAAGUUUGGUGUGAAAUCUCCCGCUCAACUGGGAGGGUGCGCCGAAUACUGAAUGACUUGGAGUGCGGGAGAGGAAAGUGGAAUUCCUGGUGUAGCGGUGAAAUGCGCAGAUAUCAGGAGGAACACCGGUGGCGAAGGCGGGUCUCUGGGCCAAAACUGACGCUGAGGAGCGAAAGCGUGGGGAGCGAACAGG
Molecule: ribosomal RNA, 253 nt
Filed under: uncultured bacterium
Lineage: Bacteria
Description: partial 16S ribosomal RNA
Rfam family: Bacterial small subunit ribosomal RNA
Source: RNAcentral